GCGCACAGGAGGGGCGCUGGGAGGGGUGCAAGAGGCACCAGGCAGGUGCGGAGGCCUUGAGGCCCUGGGAGACUUCUCUGCUCCUGGGCCGGAAGGGGAAGCAUGGUGACCCUGGGGUCUCCGCCCCCUUCUGGGCAUCUUCCCUCCCACCCAGGAACCUCGGGACUCACGUUGUGCUGACAGCAGACCAGUUGGCAGCCCAGGUGGGAAGAUGCACAGGCAAUGCCGAACUCGAGGAGACAGAAAAUGAGCAGCACGCCCGAAAUCGCCACUCCGGGGGUCUGGAACCAGAGCAGGUAGAGGUCCCGCUGGGAGAGCCCGGGUCAGGAGGUGACUUACCAGGCGCAUCUUGUUGGUUUGUCAUCCUUCCCUUGGGAUUCGUUAGGCACGGGGGCUUUGGAGGGAAGGAGGAAGGUCACCAGCAUCUUCACUGCUUUGAGCUAGAAGCCCAACGUCACCUGGGUGAGGACUUGAAAGGCUGACGCUUGUGGAGUUUAAAUAACUGACCCGAGACCAUCCAGCAGAUGGCUGGUCCAGAUAGUUGAAUCCAGACCCCAUGUUCUUCGCCUUUACCACACAGACCCUCCCACCACUCAGGGUAGAUGCGUGCACCUUGGGGUGGAAAUGGUUUUACAAUGGAAAGUUACUCUAGCUUCCUACGCCUUUUAAACGGAGUGUGAUUUUUCCUAUACGUGGAAAAAUAAAUCUCAGUCUUACAACCUCC
Molecule: long non-coding RNA, 724 nt
Organism: Acinonyx jubatus (cheetah)
Lineage: Eukaryota; Metazoa; Chordata; Mammalia; Carnivora; Felidae
Exons: 4
Source: RefSeq, a predicted model, not a curated record